AGAGUUUGAUCCUGGCUCAGGAUGAACGCUGGCGGUCUGCUUAACACAUGCAAGUCGAACGCAACCUUCGGGUUGAGUGGCGGACGGGUGAGUAACGCGUGAGAAUCUGCCUUAGGGUCGGGGACAACCACUGGAAACGGUGGCUAAUACCGGAUAAGCCGAUUGGUGAAAGAUUUAUUGCCCGAAGAGGAGCUCGCGUCUGAUUAGCUAGUUGGUGAGGUAAGAGCUCACCAAGGCAGCGAUCAGUAGCUGGUCUGAGGGGACGAUCAGCCACACUGGGACUGAGACACGGCCCAGACUCCUACGGGAGGCAGCAGUGGGGAAUUUUCCGCAAUGGGCGAAAGCCUGACGGAGCAAGACCGCGUGAGGGAGGAAGGCUCUUGGGUUGUAAACCUCUUUUCUCAGGGAAGAAGCUCUGACAGUACCUGAGGAAUCAGCCUCGGCUAACUCCGUGCCAGCAGCCGCGGUAAUACGGAGGAGGCAAGCGUUAUCCGGAAUUAUUGGGCGUAAAGCGUCCGCAGGUGGCGAUUCAAGUCUGCUGUCAAAGCACGGGGCUUAACUCCGUUAAGGCAGUGGAAACUGAAGAGCUAGAGUGCCGUA
RNAcentral lists this ribosomal RNA (600 nucleotides) under uncultured bacterium. RNAcentral's name for it is "bacterial SSU rRNA". It matches the Rfam family "Bacterial small subunit ribosomal RNA", at positions 8 to 653 of the family's 1533-position model. The record is from RNAcentral.